CUGCAGCCCGAGUGGUGAUCGAUUUUAUUGAGCCUAAAGCGUCCGUAGCCGGACUAGUAAACCCUUGGGUAAAUUGGGCAGCUUAACUGUCCAAAUUCCGAGGGGACUGCUAGUCUUGGGACCGGGAGAGGUCAGAGGUACUCAAGGGGUAGGGGCUAAAUCCUGUAAUCCUUUGGGGACCACCAGUGGCGAAGGCGUCUGACUAGAACGGAUCCGACGGUAAGGGACGAAACCCUGGGGCGCGAACCGAAUUAGAUACCCGAGUAGUCC
This 270-nucleotide ribosomal RNA is filed under the name uncultured archaeon. Its description in RNAcentral is "partial 16S ribosomal RNA". It matches the Rfam family "Archaeal small subunit ribosomal RNA", at positions 477 to 747 of the family's 1478-position model. The record is from RNAcentral.